Molecule: transfer RNA, 72 nt
Filed under: Camelus bactrianus (Bactrian camel)
Lineage: Eukaryota; Metazoa; Chordata; Mammalia; Artiodactyla; Camelidae
Also listed under: 1 other name
Rfam family: tRNA
About the family: Transfer RNA (tRNA) molecules are approximately 80 nucleotides in length. Their secondary structure includes four short double-helical elements and three loops (D, anti-codon, and T loops). Further hydrogen bonds mediate the characteristic L-shaped molecular structure. tRNAs have two regions of fundamental functional importance: the anti-codon, which is responsible for specific mRNA codon recognition, and the 3' end, to which the tRNAs corresponding amino acid is attached (by aminoacyl-tRNA synthetases). tRNAs cope with the degeneracy of the genetic code in two manners: having more than one tRNA (with a specific anti-codon) for a particular amino acid; and 'wobble' base-pairing, i.e. permitting non-standard base-pairing at the 3rd anti-codon position.
Source: Rfam by way of RNAcentral
GAAGGGAUAGCUCAGAGGUAGAGCGCGUGCUUAGCAUGCACGAGGUCCUGGGCCCCAUCCCCAGUACCUCCA